GAAUAGAAUAAUUAAUCUGUGUGUAUAACCUCAAUAAUAUGGUUUGAGGGUCUCUACCAGGAACCGAUAAAUCCUGAUUACAACAAAUGUCACUUUCAU
This 99-nucleotide non-coding RNA is filed under the name Priestia endophytica. RNAcentral describes it as "Bacillus endophyticus Guanine sequence". It matches the Rfam family "Purine riboswitch aptamer". Rfam says of the family: Riboswitches are metabolite binding domains within certain messenger RNAs that serve as precision sensors for their corresponding targets. Allosteric rearrangement of mRNA structure is mediated by ligand binding, and this results in modulation of gene expression. Lineage: Bacteria; Bacillati; Bacillota; Bacilli; Caryophanales; Bacillaceae. The record is from Rfam by way of RNAcentral.